RNAcentral lists this transfer RNA (73 nucleotides) under Candidatus Woesearchaeota archaeon. Its description in RNAcentral is "tRNA-Val". It matches the Rfam family "tRNA". From Rfam's summary of the family: Transfer RNA (tRNA) molecules are approximately 80 nucleotides in length. The record is from RNAcentral. Lineage: Archaea; Nanobdellati; Candidatus Woesearchaeota.
GGAUCUAUGGUCUAGCGGCUAUGACGUCGCCUUCACAUGGCGAAGAUCGCCGGUUCAAAUCCGGCUAGACCCA